AGCAGCCGCGGUAAUUCCAGCUCCAAUAGCGUAUAUUAAAGUUGUUGCAGUUAAAAAGCUCGUAGUUGAAUUUCGGGAUCAAUAUGUUGGUCGUGCCUCGGUACGUACUAGCUUAUUGGUUUCUCCUUUCUGAAGAACCAUGAUGUCAUUUAUUUGGUGUCGUGGGGAAUCAGGACUGUUACUUUGAAAAAUUAGAGUGUUUAAAGCAGGCUCACGCUUGAAUACAUUAGCAUGGAAUAAUGAAAUAGGACGUUUGAUUCUAUUUUGUUGGUUUCUAGGAUCGACGCAAUGAUUAAUAGGGAUAGUUGGGGGCAUUAGUAUUCAAUUGUCAGAGGUGAAAUUCUUGGAUUUAUUGAAGACUAACUACUGCGAAAGCAUUUGCCAAGGAUGUUUUCAUUAAUCAAGAACGAAAGUUAGGGGAUCGAAGACGAUCAGAUACCGUCGUAGUCUUAACCAUAAACUAUGCCGACUAGGGAUCGGAUGAUGUUAAUUUUUAAUGACUCAUUCGGCGCCUU
This 515-nucleotide ribosomal RNA is filed under the name uncultured Glomus. Its description in RNAcentral is "SSU rRNA". It matches the Rfam family "Eukaryotic small subunit ribosomal RNA", at positions 569 to 1089 of the family's 1831-position model. Lineage: Eukaryota; Fungi; Glomeromycota; Glomeromycetes; Glomerales; Glomeraceae. The record is from RNAcentral.